Molecule: non-coding RNA, 26 nt
Filed under: Homo sapiens (human)
Lineage: Eukaryota; Metazoa; Chordata; Mammalia; Primates; Hominidae
Source: RNAcentral
CCUAGGCCAGUUUUGUACACACUCUU